GACGAACGCUGGCGGCGUGCUUAACACAUGCAAGUCGCACGGGACCCGCAAGGGUUCAGUGGCGGACGGGGUGCGUAACACGUGAGGAACAUGCCCAUCGGUGGGGGAUAGCCGGGCCCAACGGCCGGGUAAUACCGCGUACGGCUGCUCGGGGCGCAUGCCCUGAGUUGGAAAGCAGCAAUGCGCCGAUGGAGUGCCUCGCGGCCUAUCAGCUAGUUGGUGAGGUAACGGCUCACCAAGGCUACGACGGGUAGCUGGUCUAAGAGGACGACCAGUCACACUGGAACUGAGACACGGUCCAGACACCUACGGGUGGCAGCAGUCGAGAAUUUUUCGCAAUGGGGAAACCCUGACGGAGCGACGCCGCGUGAGAUGAAGGUCUUCGGAUUGUAAACUCCUGUCAUUUGAGAGUAAGGCGUU
RNAcentral lists this ribosomal RNA (420 nucleotides) under uncultured bacterium. RNAcentral's name for it is "bacterial SSU rRNA". It matches the Rfam family "Bacterial small subunit ribosomal RNA", at positions 28 to 455 of the family's 1533-position model. The record is from RNAcentral.